CAUUGGAGGCUCACUGUGUCCAUUGGA
RNAcentral lists this non-coding RNA (27 nucleotides) under Rattus norvegicus (Norway rat). The record is from RNAcentral. Lineage: Eukaryota; Metazoa; Chordata; Mammalia; Rodentia; Muridae.